Molecule: ribosomal RNA, 433 nt
Filed under: uncultured bacterium
Lineage: Bacteria
Description: partial 16S ribosomal RNA
Rfam family: Bacterial small subunit ribosomal RNA
Source: RNAcentral
AACGAACGCUGGCGGCAUGCCUAACACAUGCAAGUCGAGCGAGACCUUCGGGUCUAGUCGCGCACGGGUGCGUAACGCGUGGGAACCUGCCCUUAGGUUCGGAAUAACUCCCCGAAUGGGGUGCUAAUACCGGAUCUUGUCUUCGGACCAAAGAUUUAUCGCACUUGGAUGGUCCCGCGUUGGAUUAGCUAGUUGGUAGGGUAAAAGGCUACCAAGGCGACGAUCCAUAGCUGGCUUGUGAGGCUGGUCAGCCACACUGGGAUGGAGCCACGGCCCGGACUCCUACGGGAGGCGGCAGUGGGGGAUAUUGGACAGCGGGCUAAAGCCUGAACCACCAAUGCCGCGUGAGUGAUGAAGGCCUUGGGGUUGUAAAGCUCUUUUACCCGUGAUGAUAAUGACGGUACCGAGAGAAUAAGCUCCGGCUAACUCCGUG